This 288-nucleotide ribosomal RNA is filed under the name uncultured Eubacteriales bacterium. RNAcentral's name for it is "uncultured Clostridiales bacterium partial 16S ribosomal RNA". The stretch from base 48 to 288 matches the Rfam family "Bacterial small subunit ribosomal RNA", at positions 100 to 339 of the family's 1533-position model. Lineage: Bacteria; Bacillati; Bacillota; Clostridia; Eubacteriales. The record is from RNAcentral.
ACUUUAUUUGAUUUCCUUCGGGACUGAUUAUUUUGUGACUUAGUGGCGGACGGGUGAGUAACGCGUGGGUAACCUGCCUUACACAGGGGGAUAACAGUUAGAAAUGACUGCUAAUACCGCAUAAGCCCACGGUACCGCAUGGUACUGAGGGAAAAGGAUUUAUUCGCUUUAGGAUGGACUCGCGUCCGAUUAGAUAGUUGGUGAGGUAACGGCUCACCAAGUCGACGAUCGGUAGCCGGACUGAGAGGUCGAACGGCCACAUUGGGACUGAGAUACGGCCCAGACUCC